RNAcentral lists this transfer RNA (122 nucleotides) under bacterium. RNAcentral describes it as "tRNA-Ser". The record is from RNAcentral.
GGAGAGGUGUCCGAGUGGCCGAUGGUGCAUGCUUGGAAAGCAUGUGUACGGGUCAAACCGUACCGAUGCCCGCGAUGACUUCAGUCAUCGCGAAAAUCAAACCCAGCGAAUCCCUCCCUCUA